Molecule: ribosomal RNA, 559 nt
Filed under: uncultured Frankineae bacterium
Lineage: Bacteria; Bacillati; Actinomycetota; Actinomycetes; Frankiales
Description: SSU rRNA
Rfam family: Bacterial small subunit ribosomal RNA
Source: RNAcentral
GCAUUGUUGGAGAGUUUGAUCCUGGCUCAGGACGAACGCUGGCGGCGUGCUUAACACAUGCAAGUCGAGCGACAGUGCUCUUCGGGGCAUAUGGAGCGGCGAACGGGUGAGUAACACGUGGGCAACCUGCCCUCAGCUCUGGGACAACUCCGGGAAACCGGGGCUAAUACCGGAUAUGACAGUGUCCUGCAUGGGGUGCUGUGGAAAGUUUUUCGGCUGAGGAUGGGCCCGCGGCCUAUCAGCUUGUUGGUGGGGUGAUGGCCUACCAAGGCGACGACGGGUAGCCGGCCUGAGAGGGCGACCGGCCACACUGGGACUGAGACACGGCCCAGACUCCUACGGGAGGCAGCAGUGGGGAAUAUUGCGCAAUGGGCGGAAGCCUGACGCAGCGACGCCGCGUGAGGGAUGAAGGCCUUCGGGUUGUAAACCUCUUUCAGCAGGGACGAAGCGGAAGUGACGGUACCUGCAGAAGAAGCACCGGCCAACUACGUGCCAGCAGCCGCGGUAAUACGUAGGGUGCAAGCGUUGUCCGGAAUUAUUGGGCGUAAAGAGCUCGUAG